Molecule: long non-coding RNA, 964 nt
Filed under: Mytilus galloprovincialis (Mediterranean mussel)
Lineage: Eukaryota; Metazoa; Mollusca; Bivalvia; Mytilida; Mytilidae
Source: RNAcentral
UUUACAUAGACCUGUGAUAAUAAAACUUUUUUGCUGACGAAAUAAUUGAGGACAUUUUUGAACGCAAUCGCUGACGAAUUAUUGAAGUUUUUACAAGAUACUACAGAACACGUAUGUUAUAUAAAUCUAAAUGAACCCAAUGAAUAGAAGAGCCAUUAGUUAUGUGACAUCUUCAGUGACUGGCUAGCGACUACCUGAAAUCUCACUGGUUCCUGCAUUGACCAACCAAUUUCCUCAAGUAAUUUCCAAUCAAAUAGGUUUGAUGUGAGAUUUGUUAUUGUCCAAUUGAUAACACGUGUAUUUGUUAUGAUUAGAUAAAAAAUUCGAAGUAUUUCCGAAUUGAAUUUCAAAAUUUAAAAGAGGUGUUUUGGGACGUCAUGAAAAAGACGCCAUUUUUGUGUACUUCACAUUGUCUGUGAAAAUAUUGUUUUCCUUGAAUGAGAUCACUUCGUUCACCUGCUGAUUCUGCUCUCAUAAAAUUUGCGUUGCCUCUCCUCGGGUCUGAACGUGCAGAACAUCAACAGCACGAUAUGGUGAAAACUGAAAGGUUUGAUAAUUGAAAAAUACCGGUAAAUUACUGUAAUUUGUAAAAACAAAAAGCUGACACUUGAAAGGUAUAAAAACAAAAAUCUGACAAUUGAAAGGUAUCAUAGCUAGCCAGAAAUUUUUAUAGCGGGGGUCCUGCUGCAGUCAUGCUAUAAUUUCCCUAUAUAUAUAAUAAACCAAAUUUUUCCUCUAAAAGUAAAUGGGGCCCUCCUGAAUCUGUCUAGAUGUACAAUGUACAUGCUAAAUGCACUCAACUGGCCACAAUUAACUCGGUCAAAAAUUAAAACAACAACACAGAUAACAUGCAGUGAGUGCCUGGUUAUGGUGUCCGUGGCAGUUAAAAAAAAUAAGCAGGGGCCCACUGGCUGCAUAAGAGGGGACCCUGCUCUGGUCAUGCUUCAGUGAUUCCAUCUAUAAG